RNAcentral lists this transfer RNA (69 nucleotides) under Janus sp. RNAcentral's name for it is "tRNA-Val". Lineage: Eukaryota; Metazoa; Arthropoda; Insecta; Hymenoptera; Cephidae. The record is from RNAcentral.
CAAAUUUUAGUUUAAUUAAAAAUUAUUCAUUUACACUGAAUUGAUAUAAAAUUAUUUUUAUAGAUUUGA